GACGAACCGUGCGAACGUUGUUCGGAAUCACUGGGCUUAAAGGGCGCGUAGGCGGGUUCGCAAGUCUGUGGUGAAAGCCUCCAGCUUAACUGGAGAAGUGCCGUGGAUACUGCGAAUCUUGAGGAGGGUAGGGGCGUCUGGAACGGUCGGUGGAGCGGUGAAAUGCGUUGAUAUCGACCGGAACUCCGGUGGCGAAGGCGAGGCGCUGGACCCUUUCUGACGCUGAGGCGCGAAAGCCAGGGGAGCGAACGGG
Molecule: ribosomal RNA, 253 nt
Filed under: uncultured bacterium
Lineage: Bacteria
Description: partial 16S ribosomal RNA
Rfam family: Bacterial small subunit ribosomal RNA
Source: RNAcentral